Molecule: non-coding RNA, 1234 nt
Filed under: Ixodes scapularis (black-legged tick)
Lineage: Eukaryota; Metazoa; Arthropoda; Arachnida; Ixodida; Ixodidae
Description: Eukaryotic large subunit ribosomal RNA
Rfam family: Eukaryotic large subunit ribosomal RNA
Source: Rfam by way of RNAcentral
GGCUCCGUAGAGCAGUGCGGUUCUUGCGCUGUCCGGUGCGCUCGCGUCGGCCCUUGAAAAUCCGAGUGAGGGAGUGUGAUUUUCGUGCCGGACCGUACCCACAUCCGCAGCAGGUCUCCAAGGUGAACAGCCUCUAGUCGAUGGACCAAUGUAGGUAAGGGAAGUCGGCAAAACGGAUCCGUAACCUUGGGAUAAGGAUUGGCUCUGAGGACUGAGCCGGUCGGGCUGGGGACCUGAAGCAGGAACGGCACUGCACCGGGACUGGGCGGGGCUCGCCGUUGACGCGGCGCGGCCAAGCCCGGACCAGCGUCGGGACCUUCCUGUGGAAAGCCUCAGCUGCGCGGCGUCUGAGGGCUUCGUGCCCAAAGUGCUAUGCUUCGGACGGCAAAAAACAGUCAACUCAGAACUGGCACGGACCGGGGGAAUCCGACUGUCUAAUUAAAACAAAGCAUUGCGAUGGCCGCUGGUCGGUGUUGACGCAAUGUGAUUUCUGCCCAGUGCUCUGAAUGUCAACGUGAAGAGAUUCAUCAAAGCGCGGGUAAACGGCGGGAGUAACUAUGACUCUCUUGACUAUGACUAACUAUGACUUUAUAACUAUGACUUUACAAAGUGGCAAAGUAUAGUUUUCCCGACUUGUGGAAUCAGAUACGGGUUGGGCCCUCCGACACCCCCGUGGUGACUAGUGCCACAGUGAGUUACCGCGGGGUUUGGGCAAAGGAUAGUGUGGCAGCGUUGCAUGAUCUUGGGCUUGGGCGCUACGACGUCAAGUUGAUGACCGUGCGCGCGCUUCAGGGUGGGGGUUCGGUGUUUCCGUGUUCACCAAAAGAUGACCACCGUGGUGACACGGGCGAUGAUCCGCAGAUAAUGGCCGUCCCAGGGCCUGUUGUCCCAGAAUAGGACAUUAAAUGGUCCCUCUUCCCUACCAUCGUAAAGAGGAUAAGUGUAUUCCAGGGCGUUGGGCGGCCGAAGGGCAUCCCCAGAGCUCUGAGAAAGAGCGGGGUGAGCCAGUAGCUCUUUGCGCCCUCCAAGUCCUUUAAGACCUAGGACUUCCACCCUUUUUUUUUUGGAGGUUGAGUGAUUACUUCCUUCAAUAUAUUUUUUUUUUGGUGGGGAGGGGUUGGUCCAGAAUUUCUGGUACCUACAGCAAAUUGCUCUUAGGCCAGGGGUUGUUUUGGCCUCCUCCUGCCCUGCGGUCCCUGGGGCCCUGGAGUACAAAAAAAAAUAACCAAAUGCC